UUUAAAUUGCUGUAGUAUUUUGACUAUACAAAGGUAUUGAAAUAAGACUUUAAUUGAGUGCUAAGAGAAUGGACUUUCAAAAAAAUGCUUUCUUAAUUUUAAAAAUUGAAAUUAUUUUUUUUGUGAAGAAACAACAAUAAAAAUUAAAGACAAGAAGACCCUAAGAAUUUUUAUAAAUUUAUUAUAUUAAUAUACAAUACAUUUAUUUAAUUGGGGCGAUUUGAAAAUAUUUAAAACUUUUUAAAAACUAAUAAGAUCCAUUAAUAAUGAUUUUAUGAAAAAAAUACUCUAGGGAUAACAGCGUAAUAAUUUUAGAUAGAUCUUAUAGAAAAAAUAGUUUGCGACCUCGAUGUUGGAUUAGGAUUCUUAUUUAAUGAAGAAGUAAAAAA
RNAcentral lists this ribosomal RNA (389 nucleotides) under Haemaphysalis sulcata. RNAcentral's name for it is "partial large subunit ribosomal RNA". Lineage: Eukaryota; Metazoa; Arthropoda; Arachnida; Ixodida; Ixodidae. The record is from RNAcentral.